GAUCACCGUGAAUUCGAGACACUCUGGUUCCGAUUAUACAGAAAUGAUUGAGUUUUUAUGAUCAGUUAAAAAAAAAAUGAAAAUUUUGCGAAAAAUUCACGUUACGAAUCGUCAAAUGUUACGUGGACAUUUAAUUAUUGAAGCCUGGUAUAGAUCAACAGUCAAAUCUGAUGAAUUAUUAUCAAUUUCAUAAAGAAUAUUCGGAAGGUGUAAGGUUAAAUCACAAGUCAAUAUUGGUAGAUGUUUGUCAUGCGCUAUAUGUUGCACGAAUGUACCUAAGUAAUCUGUAAUACUAUGGAUCAAGUAAAUCGAUGUAUAAUAAACUUCUGCGAAGGAACAAUUACUUCAAACCGGCUAUAGGUACUAUAUUAGUAAUAUACUAAUCUUAUCUUAAUUUCAGGAUUAUCUACGACUGGUGUUGCAGUUUUAUUUUGUGGAGAUCAACAACUUACAUUGCAGAUAUCGAUUUUAACUGAUAUGUUGGAUGGAUAGUUAUUUGAACAUCUAGAAUGCAAUUUAUGAUUACUCAGCUGCAACAUGAGAGACUACGACACUCAUUCUACACAUUCAUCUCUCCAGUGACAAAAGUGCUUAUCUGAGGGUCAGAUGACCAGUUACAAUAUAAACAUAAAAUAUUUGUGAAAUCUUUAGAAUUUUCUAUGAUAUAAGUCUUUAAGCCGGGCAUAUACUGACAACCGUGAUUGUCAACCUUUAUCGGUUCAAUAAGAGUAUAGGGGAAAAGUUUGUGGACUAUUUAGGUCCAACUAAUUUUAACUCAUUGCCGCUGUACUUAAAAAAAUAUAUUUAUAGUAAUGUAAAUAAGAAUAAUUAUAUAACUAAUAAAAAAGUUAUUGUUAACUAUUUGUUACUUGAACUAUAGUUGUAUAUUAUCUAGAAUUUAAGUAUUUUAAUAUUGUUUGAAAUAACAAUUUCAGAUUA
Molecule: long non-coding RNA, 939 nt
Filed under: Acyrthosiphon pisum (pea aphid)
Lineage: Eukaryota; Metazoa; Arthropoda; Insecta; Hemiptera; Aphididae
Description: uncharacterized LOC107885907, transcript variant X2
Source: RNAcentral